AGAGUUUGAUCCUGGCUCAGGACGAACGCUGGCGGCGUGCCUAAUACAUGCAAGUCGAGCGAGCGGAACUAACAGAUUUACUUCGGUAAUGACGUUAGGAAAGCGAGCGGCGGAUGGGUGAGUAACACGUGGGAACCUGCCCCAUAGUCUGGGAUACCACUUGGAAACAGGUGCUAAUACCGGAUAAGAAAGCAGAUCGCAUGAUCAGCUUUUAAAAGGCGGCGUAAGCUGUCGCUAUGGGAUGGCCCCGCGGUGCAUUAGCUAGUUGGUAAGGUAAAGGCUUACCAAGGCGAUGAUGCAUAGCCGAGUUGAGAGACUGAUUGGCCACAUUGGGACUGAGACACGGCCCAAACUCCUACGGGAGGCAGCAGUAGGGAAUCUUCCACAAUGGACGCAAGUCUGAUGGAGCAACGCCGCGUGAGUGAAGAAGGUUUUCGGAUCGUAAAGCUCUGUUGUUGGUGAAGAAGGAUAGAGGUAGUAACUGGCCUUUAUUUGACGGUAAUCAACCAGAAAGUCACGGCUAACUACGUGCCAGCAGCCGCGGUAAUACGUAGGUGGCAAGCGUUGUCCGGAUUUAUUGGGCGUAAAGCGAGCGCAGGC
This 600-nucleotide ribosomal RNA is filed under the name uncultured bacterium. RNAcentral's name for it is "bacterial SSU rRNA". It matches the Rfam family "Bacterial small subunit ribosomal RNA", at positions 8 to 576 of the family's 1533-position model. The record is from RNAcentral.